GAAGGUAGCGUAAUCAUUUGUCUUUUAAAUAGAGACCUGUAUGAAUGGCAUAACGAGGGUUUAACUGUCUCCCUCCCCCAGUCAAUGAAAUUGAUCUGCCCGUGCAGAAGCGGACAUAAACACAUAAGACGAGAAGACCCUAUGGAGCUUUAGACAAAAGAUCAAACAUGUAAAGAAACCAAACCAACCAAAAGGAACACAAAAGCCACAAAACCCAACGUAAAAUGAUCAAAAUGUCUUCGGUUGGGGCGACCAUGGGGGAAAGAAAAGCCCCCACGAGGAACUAAGGGCAAUCCAUUAAGCCAAGAGAUACACCUCUAAGCAACAGAAAAUCUGACCAAAAAUGACCCAGGACACUAAUCCUGAUCAACGAACCAAGUUACCCUAGGGAUAACAGCGCAAUCCUUUCCCAGAGUCCAUAUCGACGAAAGGGUUUACGACCUCGAUGUUGGAUCAGGACAUCCUAAUGGUGCAGCCGCUAUUAAGGGUUCGUUUGUUC
This 499-nucleotide ribosomal RNA is filed under the name Anguilla marmorata (giant mottled eel). RNAcentral's name for it is "partial 16S rRNA". It matches the Rfam family "Bacterial large subunit ribosomal RNA", at positions 1952 to 2582 of the family's 2925-position model. Lineage: Eukaryota; Metazoa; Chordata; Actinopteri; Anguilliformes; Anguillidae. The record is from RNAcentral.